This is a non-coding RNA of Rattus norvegicus (Norway rat), 5518 nucleotides long. The record is from RefSeq and is a predicted model, not a curated record. Lineage: Eukaryota; Metazoa; Chordata; Mammalia; Rodentia; Muridae.
UUGAAGUGAUUGGUCACAUCCCAUCCAAAGUCAAGAGCAGAGAGAGAAAUUAUUACACUCAUGCAGGACCACUUUACCUUCUCCUUGUCAUGUAGCCAAGGAUCCAAACCUAGGGAAUCCCUCUACCCACUCUUAUGCUGGGUUUUUCCACAUCAAUUACCAUAACUGAGACAAUCUCCCACACUCAUGUCCACAGGCCAACCUGAUCUAGAUAAUCCCUCAUCAAGACACUCGUUCCAUAUGACACUGCACUGUGUCAAGUCAACUAUUAAACUAGCCAUCACUCCAGCACGGUGGAAACUUUACUAAGCUUUGUGGUGAGGUGCUCAAGAAUCUGGACCCUGGCAUCAGACAGGUCACCCAGUUCUGUUGCUCGGUUACACAGAACAGGGUCAGUGUUCUCACCUGGUGAGUGCUAUCAGAACCUUCUCCUCUGGAAUGAGACAAUCACAUGAGCCGAUGGUCCACGAACAUUGCUCAGCCCAGUUCCCAACUCCUAGCACACGAUGCGUCAUUUGUAACCAUUAUUGCGGAUGCUAUUGCCAUCAUCUUCCUGGUGAGCUACAGUAGCCCGAGUGGAUGCUGUGGCACGGGUAACCAGGCAUCACUCAGCUGUCGUCCCUCUCACAGAAGCCGACUGGAAAAAUGAAGUCCUUAUCUCGAAGCUCCGCUUCUCAGAGCUUUCUCUCACAGUGUUUUCUUUAACCACUUGGAAGCACAUGCACCUGUGCUGAGGUGAGUCUCCCUGACAAGGCAGUCUUCAGGGUAUGGAAGGAAAGACACUCACCUCUAUGGCCGGCAUAAGAAGUUUGUGGACACACCAGGGUAAGGAUCCAAGAUAAACAAGCAAGAAUGAAAGAAACAGAACAGAGAGAUCUUGGUGGCCCUCACUUGCCACCUGAGCACCCUUGAGUUUGUAUUAAAAGAAAAACAACAUAUGACUUCUUUUGAAGAACAAAAUUGGACUUAUGGGUCCUAUACCACUCACAGACAGCAUUUACUCAGCCAGACAUCGACACUGUUGCUACUAAUGACAUCAGAAUUAUUAUUGGCUUUGUUUGGGUGAAGGCAUCUGUGCAGGGCCAGCCAAGGCCAGACAUCCCUUCCCUUCAUACUUAUCCUGGCUCAGGUCUGGCACAAUGAGACCAGAACAGUCUCGAUAGGUAUAAGAUAGACCUUGACCUGGCCCUAGGAGACUACAGAUUCAUCUUACCAGCUCCUUCCUACAAGUAGUAAGACACACAUUUUCAUACAGUAGACAGUGUGGUUUUGAAAAUGUAGAAUUUCAUAACUAGUGAUUCCCAGAUAUGUCAAUGCUUUCCAGAGUGGAAUUAUACCCAGGGCUGGUAUGAUUAUACCCUAGCCUGCUUGUAUAACAUGGUUCUGUUUAAAUUGGUCUCCCUCAUAUCCCAGGGGUUCCAUACACAGUGUCUCCCUUUUCCUACCACAUACCGAUGGUAGACAGGCCAUCUGCCCCCACACUCAAUCCAUCCAUGCUUAAACAGUAAGCAUGCACAUAAAUGUUCAUUUAAGGAAAUCACUACUGUAAGGAUACCACAUUUCUCAGAGUAAGGUACCAAAUGUGCCCCUUCAACCUCUUUCAAUGAGAUAUCUGAUAUGGGAGACAAUAUCACCAGUGCAUUUGGGGCUCGGGAUAAAAAUCACAAUGAUUAAAACCAACAGUCAUCAUCGUGUAAACUACAGGGUCAUGUUCACAGGCUCAGAGUUCUUUCCCAUGUGUCCAUGCACACAUGUGCACAUACCAGCACCUCUGUGUUUAGCUCCUUUGGGCUCAACAGUUGGAGACCUGAUGGCAUUGGCUAGAGAGAGACUAACAACAUACGGAAGGCCACAGCCUUAGAGAAUAUCCAGUGGCUGGAGAAGGAGGGCAAAGAGGAGCUGCAAAGCUAUGAAGGAAAUAGAAGGAAAGAGUAGAAAAGAACACUGCUAUGGAGGCGAAUACUAAAUGCCAGAGUACUUUACUCUUGAUAGAUGUAUUUAUUUAUUAGCUUGCUUGCUUACUUGCUUGGUUCGUGUGUGUGUGUGUGUGUUGAGUGUGUGUGUGUGUGUGUGUAUGUGUGUGUGAGAGAGAGAGUGUGUGUGUGUGAGUGGGGGGAGCUGAGUGUGUGUGUGAGUGUAUGUGAGUGUGUGUGGGGAGGUGAGUAUGUGAGUGUGGGUGGGUGAGUGUGUGUGUGUCUGUAUGUGUGUGAGAGAGUGUGUGUGCGAGUGUGUGUGUGUGAGUGUAUGUGUGGGUGAGUGUGUCUAUGAGCAUGUGUGUGUGACUGUGUGUGUGACUGUGUGUGAGUGUGUGUGUGUGUGUGUGUGUGUGUGUGUGUAAGUGGGGAAGGUAGUAUACAUGUGAAGUGGAAACUUAAGGGUUCUUUGGAAAGUCAGUUGUGUUGGAUGGUGUUUUGCUGGGACAAACACAUGAAGGAGUGCUUUCCUGAAGUGGACAUAGGUAAAAGACUAAGAUAGACUCAUGGAGGAAUGUUUCCCUGAAGCAGACACAGGAGAAAGGGUGUUCUGCUAAAGGAAACACAUGAAAGGACACAGGAGGAAGGAUUCUUUGCUAACAACAUUCAUGUAUUGGUCUGCCUUACAUUGCAUAGUUGAGCUGCAUUUAUUGGGACUCCAUAGAGAGAAAUGCAACAAAACACUUCUGGUGGUGUGCUGCAGUUUCUUGCCACUUGACUUGGGCUGAUUGGCAGAAUGAUGCUAGCAGAGACAGACGCACAUGCUAAGACAAGACCCAUGGAGGGCAUGUGAUAUCUAGAGGUUAUAAAGAGGACUCAAAGGGCAGUGAGGGAGGCUGAACCUGGCUUGCUUAUAGAGCUAGCAGUGCAGUGCUUCUUGGUCUCUGGACUUCACUUCAUUGAGAUAGGCACAGCCAAGAACUUCUCCUAGCAUCUCUCUAGGUCCCUCCUGCUGAUUCGAACCAAGGCUGAGGUCUAGCUGUCUCUGCUAGGUAGUGCCACCACUGCUGAUUCGUGUUUGCUCUCCUGAUUCUACAGAGCUAGACUGGUGGUAUAUCUGUGACAUGUUUGUGAGUGGAUAGAACUGCCAUUGCUAACUUAUAAACUGAACUGCAUAUUUCCAGACAACACAGAAAGGAGUUGCUCCAAAGAACCUUCCUAAACAGGACCACUUCCUCCCCUCCCCCUUUUUUCCCACUACCUCUGGUGGGUGGUGGGCUACAAGGGAGGUUAAAGUUUAUAAGAACCAUCAUUAAAAGUAGGAUUUGAAAAAAAUGAAGUUACAUAUAAUGUGAGUGUGUUGUGAUGUGUGUGCGUGGUAUGUGAAUAUAUGUGCAAGUGCAUAUAGCCAUGUGCAAGUGCAUAUAGCCAGGUGAGAACAGCGUGUGUCCUGUUCUAUCACUCUCCAACUUAUUCCUCUGAGACAGGGUCUUUUACUGCAUCUAGAACUCUGGAACUAGACUAGUGAUGGUGCCUGCCUUUUUACACGGGUUCCAGAGCUUUGAAAUCAAGUCUCAAUGCUUACAUAGCCAGUGCUCUUACCAAUUGAGCUAUUGCUCCAACCUCUACUCUCAAAUAUUUUUAAAGCUGGCUUCUCCUUGCCCAUUUUUCCUAUAGGAAACUCCCUACUUUGUGAAUGGAAGAGAGGGAUCUAUGCAGUCAAUGCACAACAUCACAGUGGUCCAGAUCCUGAACCAUCUACUUGGGUAGCGGUUAUCAGACAUUCUAGAAGGGAAAGGGUACUUGGUGUAUUUAACUAUUGGGAGGAAAGCACUUUCGUCUCUUAAGCAAACCGAGUUGAUAGGUGGUGGCAGGUGCCUAGAACACCAGCUUCAGACCACCUUCAUGACUGAAGAAUAAAGGAGAAUCAUAUCUUUAUUUCAUAUUUGCCGCCCUACAUAGACAGAGCUAAGUCCUCUUCCACUUUAUCCAUGCUCUAUCUCUAAAGAGGACGUGUUCUAUCUGACUAACAUUUCCAGGUCCCUAGAGUGUGCCAAACACUGCAGUGAAUGCUUUCUUUCAAUAAUCUCCUUUGAUUUACCACAAACAGUCACACCAUGGUCUGCUUGCUGCUUCUGCCUGUCUUCCGAUCUAGGGGUGCAUCUGAUAUACUAACAGGUGAGCGAGAAUGCUUCUGAAUCGGACCUUUGCUCCCCAGCCUCCUGGGACUACUGGAACAUAGCCGGAAAGCCUGAUCACUGUGGAAGGUGAGUGUUUGGCACACAGAUCACCAUAUUUUUGCUAUUUUCUUUUGUGUGAGUUUUGCAUGUGUUUGCAAUUUUCCGUUUUAGAAUGGUUUUAUUGAAAAAAUUACAUUAUUGUAGACACUGAGUCCAUUUUUAUUAACUGUGCUCUUGACAAUUUCAUACAUAUAUCUAAUGCAUUCUGGUUCCUCUCAACCCCCCCCCUUCUCCCCUCUUUCCCUCCCACCUCCGCCUACACCCCCUUCCCUAAAAGUCCCUUUCUUGUGUCUUUUUGCUUUCUUUUGUGACCCACUAAGUUUAACCAGAGCCAUCUGUUUGACUGUAAGUCUGAAGAAGUCUGCUGAAGCCUGGUAGGUUCAUCUGUGGGUAUUCGACUGAAGACAAGGAGCCCACACACACCCUGUGAGCACCUACCAGUAGCCAAUAAUUCAGGAGGGAGAAGUAGGACCCUUUGAGCCCCUCCCUGACCCAUAAUUGACUAAUGAUAGGUCUAAUGUUGUGUAAGUCCAUUGGAAGCAACCCCAGCUGCCAUGAAAUCAUAAUUAUGAUAGCUUUUCCAUACCCAGAAGAUAGCAGGUCACAGAUCUCCAUGACGUGCCCUGCCUUCUACAUCCUCUCCACCCUCACCCCUGUGAUGAUUCCUGAGCCUUAAAGUAGGUAGCACACAUAUUCUACUUAGAGCCAAGCACUCAGCCAUCGCUUAGUCUUAGCACCUCGAGCAGCCAUGCCUCUCCGCACUCACAGCUAUCCACAGUAAAGAGAAGCUUCUCUGAUGAAGGUUGGAGGUAGCAUUUGUCUAUGGGCAUCAACAUAAAUGUUUAUGGGGCAGCUUUGUGCCUCGACAACUUAGCUACACGACCAUAGACCUCUGUGACUAUCUGUGCCAUUUGUGCAUAGAGAUGUGAAAUGUGAGCAUAAAUUUGUGCAGAGACAUAAGUCCCAUUCCUAAGGCCAGUGGAUGAAAGAAGAUGUGGGACGAUAUGAAGCGCGAUGCUCAGAACUUCCUGUGUUGAUUUGUUCACUGCCAUCUGCUGGGUACUGUGUGGAGACGGGCCCCCAAUAGUCAGCUUCAGGGCCCUAUCAGGUAAGGGGUAGGAUUCCUUGAGUCCCUCUCUGACUCAGCCCCACUGUGUCCUUCCUAAAGGACCGAGUGGCCAGUGACUAAGCAAAGCAGCAAUAGAGACCCAGUCUCUGGGAACACAAGACAAUGCUGAUAAUAGUGAGGUAAAUAUUAUCUAAGGAAAAUCUGAUACACACACACACACACACACACAUAUAUAUAUACACAUAUAUAUAUAUAUAUAUAUUAUAUAUAUAUAUAUAUAUAUAUAUAUAUAUAUA